ACUCCUACGGGAGGCAGCAGUCGAGGAUCUUCGGCAAUGGGCGCAAGCCUGACCGAGCGACGCCGCGUGCGCGAUGAAGGCCUUCGGGUUGUAAAGCGCUGUCGAGGGGGAGGAAGCCGAAAGGUUGGCCUAUCCCUGGAGGAAGCACGGGCUAAGUUCGUGCCAGCAGCCGCGGUAAU
Molecule: ribosomal RNA, 179 nt
Filed under: uncultured bacterium
Lineage: Bacteria
Description: partial 16S ribosomal RNA
Rfam family: Bacterial small subunit ribosomal RNA
Source: RNAcentral